This 1883-nucleotide ribosomal RNA is filed under the name Campylobacter jejuni. Its description in RNAcentral is "partial 23S ribosomal RNA". It matches the Rfam family "Bacterial large subunit ribosomal RNA", at positions 1055 to 2925 of the family's 2925-position model. Lineage: Bacteria; Pseudomonadati; Campylobacterota; Epsilonproteobacteria; Campylobacterales; Campylobacteraceae. The record is from RNAcentral.
UUACUUAAGUGGAAAACGAUGUGAAGUUACUUAAACAACCAGGAGGUUGGCUUAGAAGCAGCCAUCCUUUAAAGAAAGCGUAAUAGCUCACUGGUCUAGUGAUUUUGCGCGGAAAAUAUAACGGGGCUAAAGUAAGUACCGAAGCUGUAGACUUAGUUUACUAAGUGGUAGGAGAGCGUUCUAUUUGCGUCGAAGGUAUACCGGUAAGGAGUGCUGGAGCGAAUAGAAGUGAGCAUGCAGGCAUGAGUAGCGAUAAUUAAUGUGAGAAUCAUUAACGCCGUAAACCCAAGGUUUCCUACGCGAUGCUCGUCAUCGUAGGGUUAGUCGGGUCCUAAGUCGAGUCCGAAAGGGGUAGACGAUGGCAAAUUGGUUAAUAUUCCAAUACCAACAUUAGUGUGCGAUGGAAGGACGCUUAGGGCUAAGGGGGCUAGCGGAUGGAAGUGCUAGUCUAAGGUCGUAGGAGGUUAUACAGGCAAAUCCGUAUAACAAUACUCCGAGAACUGAAAGGCUUUUUGAAGUCUUCGGAUGGAUAGAAGAACCCCUGAUGCCGUCGAGCCAAGAAAAGUUUCUAAGUUUAGCUAAUGUUGCCCGUACCGUAAACCGACACAGGUGGGUGGGAUGAGUAUUCUAAGGCGCGUGGAAGAACUCUCUUUAAGGAACUCUGCAAAAUAGCACCGUAUCUUCGGUAUAAGGUGUGGUUAGCUUUGUAUUAGGAUUUACUCCGAAAGCAAGGAAACUUACAACAAAGAGUCCCUCCCGACUGUUUACCAAAAACACAGCACUCUGCUAACUCGUAAGAGGAUGUAUAGGGUGUGACGCCUGCCCGGUGCUCGAAGGUUAAUUGAUGGGGUUAGCAUUAGCGAAGCUCUUGAUCGAAGCCCGAGUAAACGGCGGCCGUAACUAUAACGGUCCUAAGGUAGCGAAAUUCCUUGUCGGUUAAAUACCGACCUGCAUGAAUGGCGUAACGAGAUGGGAGCUGUCUCAAAGAGGGAUCCAGUGAAAUUGUAGUGGAGGUGAAAAUUCCUCCUACCCGCGGCAAGACGGAAAGACCCCGUGGACCUUUACUACAGCUUGACACUGCUACUUGGAUAAGAAUGUGCAGGAUAGGUGGGAGGCUUUGAGUAUAUGACGCCAGUUGUAUAUGAGCCAUUGUUGAGAUACCACUCUUUCUUAUUUGGGUAGCUAACCAGCUUGAGUUAUCCUCAAGUGGGACAAUGUCUGGUGGGUAGUUUGACUGGGGCGGUCGCCUCCCAAAUAAUAACGGAGGCUUACAAAGGUUGGCUCAGAACGGUUGGAAAUCGUUCGUAGAGUAUAAAGGUAUAAGCCAGCUUAACUGCAAGACAUACAAGUCAAGCAGAGACGAAAGUCGGUCUUAGUGAUCCGGUGGUUCUGUGUGGAAGGGCCAUCGCUCAAAGGAUAAAAGGUACCCCGGGGAUAACAGGCUGAUCUCCCCCAAGAGCUCACAUCGACGGGGAGGUUUGGCACCUCGAUGUCGGCUCAUCGCAUCCUGGGGCUGGAGCAGGUCCCAAGGGUAUGGCUGUUCGCCAUUUAAAGCGGUACGCGAGCUGGGUUCAGAACGUCGUGAGACAGUUCGGUCCCUAUCUGCCGUGGGCGUAAGAAGAUUGAAGAGAUUUGACCCUAGUACGAGAGGACCGGGUUGAACAAACCACUGGUGUAGCUGUUGUUCUGCCAAGAGCAUCGCAGCGUAGCUAAGUUUGGAAAGGAUAAACGCUGAAAGCAUCUAAGCGUGAAGCCAACUCUAAGAUGAAUCUUCUCUAAGCUCUCUAGAAGACUACUAGUUUGAUAGGCUGGGUGUGUAAUGGAUGAAAGUCCUUUAGCUGACCAGUACUAAUAGAGCGUUUGGCUUAUCUUUAAUAAAGCAU